AUCCAAAUCCAUCCUUGGGUCACUGAGUUCGUUUGGUGGGUAGAAGUGUGUCCAAUUCUCUAGCACCAUUUGAAUUCAGUUCAUCCAAAGAGUUCG
Molecule: microRNA precursor, 96 nt
Filed under: Ixodes scapularis (black-legged tick)
Lineage: Eukaryota; Metazoa; Arthropoda; Arachnida; Ixodida; Ixodidae
Description: microRNA isc-mir-285 precursor
Gene: isc-mir-285
Rfam family: mir-29 microRNA precursor family (bases 18-85)
About the family: This family represents the microRNA (miRNA) precursors mir-29. Animal miRNAs are transcribed as ~70nt precursors and subsequently processed by the Dicer enzyme to give a ~22nt product. In this case the mature sequence comes from the 3' arm of the precursor.
Source: miRBase by way of RNAcentral